UUCCCUUUUUACAUGCUAGCAUGGUUUGAAAUUCCUGCUAGCCAUAUGGGCAGUUCAAAGAGCAGACUGCCAGGUGCCAUUCACUGAAAAAUAACUAAAGUGCGGUCAGGGAGGCAGAAUGUGCUAAAACACAGAAGAACCAGGAAAGCCACACCACACACGGCAGGAAGAACACAACCUGCAACCACUGCUCAGCAUGGCCCUCCUUGCUCUCUGUUAGAAAGUCAGUGUUGAUAUUGGAGAAGUACUGGAAACGCCUACCCACUUCAAUGUGGACAAAAGGGUUUGCAAAUAACUUUGUUUCUUCUUCCUUUUUCAGCAGAAGAUGGUCUUAGAGGAGGAAUCCUGUCACCUUUGUGUAAAAGGCCUUGUGAUUUCUUUGUGAGGGGCUGCCUUGAAGAACAGUCCCACAAGCAAGAAGAGCAAAAAGGACAGGGUUGGGCUUCAAAAAGAGUUAUUGAUAAGGCUUAACUCACUGAGGUUCCUGAUGCCAGGGAUAAGCCAGUGAUCCGUUUAAGAUAAUUAGGGCAGUUUCUCAAUAGCCAGAGGCUUACUUCUUAGAAAAUAAGAGACUGUGUUUGCUUACCUUGCUUAGCCCGGUGAUUAGAAACCUUGACGUUUAGACAGGCCGAGCUGCCUUCGGUGCCAGACAGUCCUGGCAAAAGAUAAAGAGCAUCAUGUCCUGGACAAGCCUUCCAAGGCUUCAGGCUCUGUCACAGCAGCAUUCCCACCACGGCUUCCACCUGCCAAGGGGUCAAGAAAAAAAGCCUUUAAACGAUAACUGAUCUCUGGAUCGACAGCGAUGCAUCAGAAGCGGUUCCUGAAGUGGCUCUCUUUAUUUUUCACUUUGAAAACUCUGCUUUCUGAGCAUGGUCUGUGCUGAGUCGGGGAGGAGAAAGACGGAUGCAGAAAUGCCAGGGAACCCGCAAGGUGGGGGCACUGCUCUGUGACUGUGCGCAGUCCUUAGUUGCGACGUGUACCUGGUUUUUUAAUCAGCGGGGGGAAAGAGCAACACCUGAUCUCACUAAGAGCGUAGGCGCUCACGAAGGCAGCUCUCAGAGCCCUUGCCUACACGGCAACGAGCUGAACUUCCUCCCCGUUGCCGGAGCCCCGGUGAGGCCCUGGGCCAGCGAGGCAGAGUUUUCUGGAAGAAGAAUGAGGGCUAGCUCUUCGGAGAUCACAGCAGAAGAACGAUGUUGUCAGGAGAAGGGAGGAAGCGGUCAAGAGAAGCCACGGUAGUCUCCAGAAAAGAAUCUGGUACAGGCAAGCAUCUUCAUCCUUCUCGAUCUCUAACACGAAGUUGAGGAAUCUCCUUUUCACCUCCUUCUAACUAACCAAGGAGAGGCGCUCUUUAUUUUGUGUUCCCACUUUAAUGAGGAAGAAGAAGAAAAACCAUCAAAAGAAGGAAGAAAUGCAAAAAUGUCUGAAGUUUGAAACCUUGUAAGUCUUACUUUAAAAUGGAGAUGCAAAUGAUUUUUAAAAAAUCGUUUGUAAAAGCAGUUCAGUCAAACGCCAGGUAAGUCGGAGGGUAUUUUGAAAGAAUGCCAGAUCCUUGUUUAUUUCUGGUUCUCCUUUCUGACUGUAGAGGGUUACUUAUUUUCUCUCAUACAGUGUUUCCAGUGUGGCCUGGUGGUGGUAGUUAUGCUUCAGUUAUCUUUUGUCCACAUAAUCUCCUUAGUUUUCUUAAAAGUUAUUACAAUAAAGUACUGGAAAUGUUAGCUGAAAUACGUACU
This 1733-nucleotide long non-coding RNA is filed under the name Struthio camelus australis. RNAcentral's name for it is "lncRNA (ENSSCUG00000018734.1)". Lineage: Eukaryota; Metazoa; Chordata; Aves; Struthioniformes; Struthionidae. The record is from RNAcentral.